RNAcentral lists this ribosomal RNA (253 nucleotides) under uncultured bacterium. Its description in RNAcentral is "partial 16S ribosomal RNA". It matches the Rfam family "Bacterial small subunit ribosomal RNA", at positions 524 to 776 of the family's 1533-position model. The record is from RNAcentral.
GACGUAGGGCGCGAGCGUUGUCCGGAUUUAUUGGGCGUAAAGAGCUCGUAGGCGGCUUGUCGCGUCGACCGUGAAACCUCACAGCUCAACUGUGAGCCUGCGGUCGAUACGGGCAGGCUAGAGUUCGGUAGGGGAGACUGGAAUUCUUGGUGUAGCGGUGAAAUGCGUAGAUAUCAGGAGGAAUACCGAUGGCGAAGGCAGGUCUCUGGGCCUUACCUGACGCUGAGGCGCGAAAGCUAGGGGAGCGAACAGG